This 253-nucleotide ribosomal RNA is filed under the name uncultured bacterium. Its description in RNAcentral is "partial 16S ribosomal RNA". It matches the Rfam family "Bacterial small subunit ribosomal RNA", at positions 524 to 776 of the family's 1533-position model. The record is from RNAcentral.
UACGAAGGGGGCGAGCGUUGUUCGGAAUUACUGGGCGUAAAGGGCGCGUAGGCGGCGAACCAAGUCAGCUGUGAAAGUCCUGGGCUUAACCUGGGGACUGCAUUUGAUACUGGUUUGCUUGAAUUCGGGAGAGGAUAGCGGAAUUCCCAGUGUAGAGGUGAAAUUCGUAGAUAUUGGGAAGAACACCGGUGGCGAAGGCGGCUAUCUGGACCGACAUUGACGCUGAGGCGCGAAAGCGUGGGGAGCAAACAGG